CCUACGGGAGGCAGCAGUGAGGAAUAUUGGUCAAUGGACGCAAGUCUGAACCAGCCAUGCCGCGUGCAGGAAGACGGCUCUAUGAGUUGUAAACUUCUUUUGUACGAGAGUAAACGCAGAUACGCGUCUCUGUCUGAAAGUAUCUUACGAAUAAGGAUCGGCUAACUCCGUGCCAGCAGCCGCGGUAAUACGGAGGAUUCGAGCGUUAUCCGGAUUUAUUGGGUUUAAAGGGUGCGUAGGCGGUCGGUUAAGUUAGAGGUGAAAUCCCGAGGCUCAACUGCGGAAUUGCCUUUGAUACUGGCAGGCUAGAGAGUAGUUGAGGUAGGCGGAAUGUAUGGUGUAGCGGUGAAAUGCUUAGAGAUCAUACAGAACACCGAUUGCGAAGGCAGCUUACCAAGCUACUUCUGACGUUGAGGCACGAAAGCGUGGGGAGCAAACAGGAUUAGAUACCCGUGUAGUC
This 460-nucleotide ribosomal RNA is filed under the name uncultured bacterium. Its description in RNAcentral is "partial 16S ribosomal RNA". It matches the Rfam family "Bacterial small subunit ribosomal RNA", at positions 338 to 795 of the family's 1533-position model. The record is from RNAcentral.